Molecule: ribosomal RNA, 324 nt
Filed under: uncultured prokaryote
Description: bacterial SSU rRNA
Rfam family: Bacterial small subunit ribosomal RNA
Source: RNAcentral
AGAUUGAACGCUGGCGGCAUGCCUAACACAUGCAAGUCGAACGGUAACAGGCCCUUCGGGGUGCUGACGAGUGGCGGACGGGUGAGUAAUGCAUCGGAACGUAUCCUUGAGUGGGGGAUAACGCAGCGAAAGUUGUGCUAAUACCGCAUACGACCGAGAGGUGAAAGCGGGGGACCGAAAGGCCUCGCGCAGCAGGAUGAGCCGAUGUCCGAUUAGCCGGUUGGUGGGGUAACGGCCCACCAAGGCGACGAUCGGUAGCUGGUCUGAGAGGAUGAUCAGCCACACUGGGACUGAGACACGGCCCAGACUCCUACGGGAGGCAGC